Molecule: transfer RNA, 91 nt
Filed under: Candidatus Omnitrophota bacterium
Lineage: Bacteria; Pseudomonadati; Candidatus Omnitrophota
Description: Candidatus Omnitrophica bacterium tRNA-Ser
Rfam family: tRNA
About the family: Transfer RNA (tRNA) molecules are approximately 80 nucleotides in length. Their secondary structure includes four short double-helical elements and three loops (D, anti-codon, and T loops).
Source: RNAcentral
GGAGAGGUGGCCGAGUUGGUUUAAGGCGGCGCCCUGCUAAGGCGUUUUCCGACUUAACGUUGGAACGGGAGUUCGAAUCUCCCCCUCUCCG